This 510-nucleotide ribosomal RNA is filed under the name uncultured bacterium. Its description in RNAcentral is "partial 16S ribosomal RNA". It matches the Rfam family "Bacterial small subunit ribosomal RNA", at positions 28 to 507 of the family's 1533-position model. The record is from RNAcentral.
GACGAACGCUGGCGGCGUGCUUAACACAUGCAAGUCGAACGAAGAGCGAUGGAAGCUUGCUUCUAUCAAUCUUAGUGGCGAACGGGUGAGUAACGCGUAAUCAACCUGCCCUUCAGAGGGGGACAACAGUUGGAAACGACUGCUAAUACCGCAUACGAUCCGACCUCGGCAUCGAGGAUGGAUGAAAGGUGGCCUCUAUUUAUAAGCUAUCACUGAAGGAGGGGAUUGCGUCUGAUUAGCUAGUUGGAGGGGUAACGGCCCACCAAGGCAAUGAUCAGUAGCCGGUCUGAGAGGAUGAACGGCCACAUUGGGACUGAGACACGGCCCAGACUCCUACGGGAGGCAGCAGUGGGGAAUCUUCCGCAAUGGACGAAAGUCUGACGGAGCAACGCCGCGUGAGUGAUGACGGCCUUCGGGUUGUAAAGCUCUGUUAAUCGGGACGAAAGGUCUUCUUGCGAAUAGUUAGAAGUAUUGACGGUACCGGAAUAGAAAGCCACGGCUAACUACGUG